This is a long non-coding RNA of Lytechinus pictus (painted urchin), 407 nucleotides long. RefSeq lists it as uncharacterized. The transcript is spliced from 2 exons. Lineage: Eukaryota; Metazoa; Echinodermata; Echinoidea; Temnopleuroida; Toxopneustidae. The record is from RefSeq and is a predicted model, not a curated record.
AUGUCCCCGAGAUAUUUGCUUUUAUACAGUACAUAAAUUAUAAACGCGCGCACUGCCUACUACGUUCAUUGAGUUAUGCUUUUAUCAAGGCUUUCUGAUUAGAAUUAUCGAUAUCCUGGCCAAUCAAUGCGAGCGACAAGUUCCAAACGCACGCACAUAGACAAGCGCAAAGUAGCGGCACGAAUCGCGGUAUAAUAGCGACUGGUAAAUACGUCUGUACAGAUGAUGACGUCAUCCAAGAUGGCAACUUACGAUGACCAACGAAGGAAUCGAGGAUGACUAAGUUUUGAUCAUCAUUUGAAAGGAAUUAGCGGUAACUGCGGUCUAAGCGUUCUAUGAGAAACACACAACUAACUACCGUCAGUUUUUCAAACCUAAUUGACUUCAAAGUCAUCGAUCACAACAAG